This 253-nucleotide ribosomal RNA is filed under the name uncultured bacterium. Its description in RNAcentral is "partial 16S ribosomal RNA". It matches the Rfam family "Bacterial small subunit ribosomal RNA", at positions 524 to 776 of the family's 1533-position model. The record is from RNAcentral.
UACGUAGGGGGCAAGCGUUGUCCGGAUUUAUUGGGCGUAAAGAGCGUGUAGGCGGCUAGAUAGGUCCGUUGUGAAAACUCGAGGCUCAACCUCGAGACGCCGGUGGAAACCAUCUAGCUAGAGUCCGGAAGAGGAGAGUGGAACUGCGAGUGUAGAGGUGAAAUUCGUAGAUAUUCGCAAGAACACCAGUGGCGAAGGCGGCUCACUGGCCCGGUACUGACGCUGAGGCACGAAGGUCAGGGGAGCAAACGGG